UUCUUAAGAGCCGUCCAAGACUAGGACGUUGAUAGGCUGGGUGUGGAAGCGUUGUAAGGCGUUGAGCUAACCAGUACUAAUUGCUCGUGCGGCUUGACCGUAUAUCC
Molecule: ribosomal RNA, 107 nt
Filed under: Cellvibrionales bacterium TMED21
Lineage: Bacteria; Pseudomonadati; Pseudomonadota; Gammaproteobacteria; Cellvibrionales
Also listed under: 1 other name
Description: partial 23S ribosomal RNA
Rfam family: Bacterial large subunit ribosomal RNA
Source: RNAcentral